This is a non-coding RNA of Bombyx mori (domestic silkworm), 84 nucleotides long. The record is from Rfam. Lineage: Eukaryota; Metazoa; Arthropoda; Insecta; Lepidoptera; Bombycidae.
UUAACUCAAAUUUGUAUGGAGUUGGAACUUUUGUCUACAUUUGCCGCUAAGGGCGCUGUUCCAACUGCAUACAAAUUUGAGUUA